Molecule: small nuclear RNA, 173 nt
Filed under: Cavia porcellus (domestic guinea pig)
Lineage: Eukaryota; Metazoa; Chordata; Mammalia; Rodentia; Caviidae
Description: 7SK RNA
Rfam family: 7SK RNA (bases 1-106)
About the family: 7SK was discovered as an abundant small nuclear RNA in the mid-70s but a possible function has only recently been suggested.
Source: Rfam by way of RNAcentral
GGAUGUGGGGGCGAUGUGGCUGUGACAUUUCUCACCCCACUGAUCUCCAGGGUUGACUCAGCUGAUCUGGCUGGCUAGGCGGGUGGCCCCCUUCCCCCUCCUGUGCAGCCCUCAGGAAGCCGUAGGCUCAAGGAUCCACCACCCUCAGUGGAUCUCCUCAUAUUAUCUCAAGU